CGUAGCUCAGUGGUAGAGCAAUCGGCUGUUAACCGAUUGGUCGUAGGUUCGAGCCCUACCG
This 61-nucleotide transfer RNA is filed under the name bovine gut metagenome. It matches the Rfam family "tRNA", at positions 6 to 65 of the family's 71-position model. Rfam says of the family: Transfer RNA (tRNA) molecules are approximately 80 nucleotides in length. The record is from RNAcentral.